AUACGGCCAUAUCACGUUGAAACACCUGUUCUCGCGCGAUUCCCGAAGUUAAGCAAUGUCGAACCUGGUUAGUACCGAGAUGAGCAACCGCUUGGGAAAAUCAGGUGU
Acanthosepion pharaonis is the source of this 108-nucleotide non-coding RNA. The record is from the annotation of a GenBank genome assembly. NCBI's taxonomy places the organism in Eukaryota, Metazoa, Mollusca, Cephalopoda, Sepiida, Sepiidae.